AACACAUUGCAGGUCGAACGGAAACCGAUGGAGGGCUUGCUCUUCAGGCGUCGAGUGGCGGACGGGUGAGUAAUACCUAGGAAUCUACCCUGUAGUUGGGGACAACAUAUGGGGACGUAUGCUAAUACCGAAUAUGAUCUACGGAUUGAAGGCGCCCUCUUCUUGAAAGGCGUCGCUACAGGAUGAGCCUAGGCAAGAUUAGCUAGUUGGUAAGGUAAUGGCUUACCAAGGCAACGAUCUUUAGCUGGUUUGAGAGGAUGAUCAGCCACACUGUGAACUGAGACACGGUCCAGACUCCUACGGGAGGCAGCAGUGGGGAAUAUUGCACAAUGAGCGAAAGCUUGAUGCAGCCAUACCGCGUGUGAAGAAGGCCCGAGGGUUGUAAAGCACUUUCAAUUGUGAGGGAAGGUAGUGUAGUUAAUACCUGCAUUGCUUGACGUUAACUUUAGAAGAAGCACCGGCUAACUCUGUGCCAGCAGCCGCGGUAAUACAGAGGGUGCAAGCGUUAUUCGGAAUU
RNAcentral lists this ribosomal RNA (517 nucleotides) under uncultured bacterium. RNAcentral describes it as "bacterial SSU rRNA". It matches the Rfam family "Bacterial small subunit ribosomal RNA", at positions 50 to 552 of the family's 1533-position model. The record is from RNAcentral.